AAAACAUCACAACGGAAAUCAUUUAGAUAAUUAAGUUGAGUCGUACAUUUACACAUUCAAAAGAAAACAAGCAAACAAAUGCCCAUCACAACUAUCAUAUACAAUGAUAUACAAAAGGGCAUUGUUACUAUCAAAAUCAUGAAAAACGUUCAUUAACCCCUGAGUGUUACAAUCCUAAUCAGAGCAAUGACGCCAAAAGUGUGCUACCACUAUCCUCCUCUCAACGCG
Molecule: long non-coding RNA, 228 nt
Filed under: Lathyrus oleraceus (garden pea)
Lineage: Eukaryota; Viridiplantae; Streptophyta; Magnoliopsida; Fabales; Fabaceae
Description: Pisum sativum (pea) long non-coding RNA (PSAT_LNC036780)
Source: RNAcentral